ACGAACGUUGGCGGCGUGCUUCAUACCUGCAAGUCAACUGAAGCAGUGGUAGCAAUAUCGCUGUGGAGGUGGCGCACGGGUGAGUAACACGUAGGUAAUCUGCCUUCAGGUCUGGCAUAACUCCGGGAAACCGGGGCUAAUAGCAGAUGAUGCAGCGGCUCGACGUCGAGACAGUUGUUAAAGCUAUGGCGCCUGAAGAUGAGCCUGCGUCUGAUUAGCUAGUUGGCGGGGUAACGGCCCACCAAGGCAACGAUCAGUAGCUGGUCUGAGAGGAUGAUCAGCCACACUGGAACUGAGACACGGUCCAGACUCCUACGGGAGGCAGCAGUAAGGAAUAUUGCUCAAUGGGAGAAAUCCUGAAGCAGCAACGCCGCGUGAGGGACGAAGGGCUUUUGCUUGUAAACCUCUGUAGUGAGAGAAAAAAAUCCCAAUCUUUGGGACAUGAUGGUAUCUCAAAAGUAAGCCCCGGCUAACUACGUG
Molecule: ribosomal RNA, 480 nt
Filed under: uncultured bacterium
Lineage: Bacteria
Description: partial 16S ribosomal RNA
Rfam family: Bacterial small subunit ribosomal RNA
Source: RNAcentral